This 301-nucleotide ribosomal RNA is filed under the name uncultured bacterium. RNAcentral describes it as "partial 16S ribosomal RNA". It matches the Rfam family "Bacterial small subunit ribosomal RNA", at positions 509 to 807 of the family's 1533-position model. The record is from RNAcentral.
CAGCAGCCGCGGGAAUACAGAGGGUGCGAGCGUUAAUCGGAUUUACUGGGCGUAAAGCGUGCGUAGGCGGUCUGACAAGUCAGAUGUGAAAUCCCCGGGCUUAACCUGGGAACUGCAUUUGAAACUGUCAGGCUGGAGUCUUGUAGAGGGGGGUGGAAUUCCAGGUGUAGCGGUGAAAUGCGUAGAGAUCUGGAGGAAUACCGGUGGCGAAGGCGGCCCCCUGGACAAAGACUGACGCUCAGGUGCGAAAGCGUGGGGAGCAAACAGGAUUAGAUACCCCAGUAGUCCCUGUCUCUUAUAC